This 218-nucleotide long non-coding RNA is filed under the name Physcomitrium patens. RNAcentral describes it as "long non-coding RNA (PPAT_LNC014599)". The record is from RNAcentral. Lineage: Eukaryota; Viridiplantae; Streptophyta; Bryopsida; Funariales; Funariaceae.
UAAAGUUAAUAGUUGAAAAGGGAGAAAUCACUACUGAGAUUUCUACUUCACUUUUCAAGUUGGCGUCUGAGUGAUAUCAAUGCAAUUUUUAGAGGUUUUCUCGCAAUUUGUAAUUUGGAUUGGACUAAAACUUCUUGAGUAUAUAGAAGACUUACAUUGACAAUUGCAUGCAAAAUUACACAUCAAGUGGAUGGUCAGAUUGGAUGUAACAGCUUUUU